CUACGGGAGGCUCCAGUGGGGAAUAUUGCACAAUGGGGGAAACCCUGAUGCAGCAACGCCGCGUGGAGGAUGACGCAUUUCGGUGUGUAAACUCCUUUUAUUUAGGAAGAAAUUUGACGGUACUAAAUGAAUAAGCACCGGCUAACUCCGUGCCAGCAGCCGCGGUAAUACGGAGGGUGCAAGCGUUACUCGGAAUCACUGGGCGUAAAGGACGCGUAGGCGGUUUGAUAAGUUGGAUGUGAAAUCCUAUGGCUUAACCAUAGAACUGCAUCCAAAACUGUCAGACUAGAGUGAGGGAGAGGUGAAUGGAAUUAGUGGUGUAGGGGUAAAAUCCGUAGAGAUCACUAGGAAUACUCAUAGCGAAGGCGAUUCACUGGAACUUUACUGACGCUGAGGCGUGAAAGCAUGGGGAGCAAACAGGAUUAGAUACCCGCGUAGUC
Molecule: ribosomal RNA, 440 nt
Filed under: uncultured bacterium
Lineage: Bacteria
Description: partial 16S ribosomal RNA
Rfam family: Bacterial small subunit ribosomal RNA
Source: RNAcentral